Molecule: ribosomal RNA, 750 nt
Filed under: uncultured bacterium
Lineage: Bacteria
Description: bacterial SSU rRNA
Rfam family: Bacterial small subunit ribosomal RNA
Source: RNAcentral
GAUGAACGCUGGCGGCGUGCCUAACACAUGCAAGUCGAGCGAGAAGUAAAUAACAGAAGCCUUUGGGCGGAAGAUAUUUAUGGAAAGCGGCGGACGGGUGAGUAACGCGUGGGUAACCUGCCCUAUACAUGGGGAUAGCCACUAGAAAUGGUGAUUAAUACCUGGUAGACAUAAUAGAGGCAUCUUUAUUAUGAGAAAGAUUUAUUGGUAUAGGAUGGGCCCGCGUCUGAUUAGCUAGUUGGUGGGGUAAAAGCCUACCAAGGCAAUGAUCAGUAGCCGACCUAAGAGGGUGAACGGCCACACUGGAACUGAGAGACGGUCCAGACUCCUACGGGAGGCAGCAGUGGGGGAUAUUGCACAAUGGGGGAAACCCUGAUGCAGCAACGCCGCGUGAGUGAUGAAAUUUUUCGAAAUGUAAAACUCUGUCCUAUGGGAAGAAAAAAAUGACGGUACCAUAGGAGGAAGCACCGGCUAAAUACGUGCCAGCAGCCGCGGUAAUACGUAUGGUGCAAGCGUUAUCCGGAAUCUUUGGGCGUAAAGCGUGCGUAGGCGGCUAGGAAGGUCAGAGGUGAAAGGCAUGGGCUUAACCUGUGUAAGCCUUUGAAACCGACUAGCUUGAGUACAGGAGGGGAAAGUGGAAUUUCUAGUGUAGCGGUGAAAUGCGUAGAUAUUAGAAAGAACACCAGUGGCGAAGGCGACUUUCUGGACUGUAACUGACGCUAAGGCACGAAAGCGUGGGUAGCGAACAGG